This 586-nucleotide long non-coding RNA is filed under the name Equus asinus (donkey). RNAcentral's name for it is "lncRNA (ENSEASG00005035270.1)". The record is from RNAcentral. Lineage: Eukaryota; Metazoa; Chordata; Mammalia; Perissodactyla; Equidae.
CCUCCAGAAAAAGACAUUUUAUCCUUUUAAAGUCAAUGCAAAACUGGUUUUGAAGGCAGUCUUUUUAGGAAGGAAAUUUUUUUAAACCCUGCCUACCUUUAUUGCUGCCAUCACAGAGCUCCCUUGAAAUGAAAAGGUUCAGCUGAGGUAAAUCUGAAACGCUUGAGUCUAGGGCAACAAUUCCAAAGCGUAAAAGGUGUGGAGAGAAGAAGGGGAGUGUUAGUUACCAACAGAUGGAACGAGAACCCAAGGAGGAGGAAGGGCAGGUUUAUUUUUCUCCUGUCUCAUUUUUCCUGCAUUCUCCAAAUUCAAUUAUUCCUGGCCUCAUCCAGGCUGCUGCGUUGAGAACAAACAACACAGGAGUAAGGCAAAAGCAAGAGACCACCAGACAGACGGUUCUCGCAGUAACCAAGCAAGGGAUGAUGGCGGCGUGAACCACAGGGAGAGCAGAGGAGAGCUCCAUGGAUCAUGUGACUAAGUUGUGGCCAAUAAAUAAUAUGUAAGGGGAAAUGUAGAUAGGACUUCUGGGAAAAGUGCUUGGACCUGAAAUGUGGACAUCAUGGCUGAAGCUUCACCAUGAGAUGAC